GACGAACGCUGGCGGCGUGCUUAACACAUGCAAGUCGAACGGUGAACCGGGCUUCGGCCCGGGGAUCAGUGGCGAACGGGUGCGUAACACGUGGGCAACCUGCCCCAGACUCUGGGAUAACUCCGGGAAACCGGGGCUAAUACCGGAUACUCCGAUCGGACGACAUCGUCUGACCGGGAAAGCUCCGACGGUCUGGGAUGGGCCCGCGGCCUAUCAGCUUGUUGGUGGGGUGAUGGCCUACCAAGGCGACGACGGGUAGCCGGCCUGAGAGGGCGACCGGCCACACUGGGACUGAGACACGGCCCAGACUCCUACGGGAGGCAGCAGUGGGGAAUCUUGCGCAAUGGGCGAAAGCCUGACGCAGCGACGCCGCGUGAAGGAUGAAAUCCCUCGGGAUGUAAACUUCGCAAGAACGGGAAGAAUAAGUAGGGGACAAUACCCCCUAUGAUGACGGUACCGUUUGUAAGCUCCGGCUAACUCCGUGCCAGCAGCCGC
Molecule: ribosomal RNA, 495 nt
Filed under: uncultured bacterium
Lineage: Bacteria
Description: bacterial SSU rRNA
Rfam family: Bacterial small subunit ribosomal RNA
Source: RNAcentral